Long non-coding RNA from Cyprinus carpio carpio, 506 nucleotides. Lineage: Eukaryota; Metazoa; Chordata; Actinopteri; Cypriniformes; Cyprinidae. The record is from Ensembl.
AAUCGUUAUAUGUGUGUUGUGCAGAGUUGUUGUUGCUUAUGAAAAACAUUACAAAUCAGUCACUUUUGAAGUAUGGCAGCUCACCAGAUUUUGGACCAAGCCAAUAUUUUGGAGUUGGAUAAGUGAUCUUCUGUCUCACUGUAACACCCGCGAAGAAUGCACGGAAGGAAAUAAUUUGGUUUCACAGCUACUUCUAUGUAUGUGUGGGCCGGAUCAGAAGACUACGUUCGCUCAGGAGUCAGGAUUGCAGCAGGAGAAAGAACACAACAACAACUUCUGGAAAAGAAAACUCAACAGAAAGUAAACAACAAAAAUGCACAGGUAAAUAACCAGAUGAAAAGGUAUCAGUCCAAAGCAAAUACUUAGUCCUUUGAAAUAAAUGUCCAACGUGGAAACAAAAAUACUCAGAUCCUUGAGUGAAAAGAGUUUCGAUGCUUAGCAAAAAAUGUGUCCAAAAAGUAAAAAACAGGUUUACACAAUAUUUCCUACCAGUGUGAUGAACAACU